AGCGAACGCUAGCGGCGGGCCUAACACAUGCAAGUCGAGCGCGUACCUUCGGGUACGAGCGGCGGACGGGUGAGUAACACGUAGGUCAUCUACCCUUUGGUGGGGGAUAACCCAGGGAAACUUGGGCUAAUACCGCACGAGGUCUACGGAUCAAAGCCUUCGGGCGCCAGAGGAUGAGCCUGCGUCGCAUUACCUAGUUGGUAGGGUAAUGGCCUACCAAGGGGACGAUGCGUAGCUGGUCUGAGAGGAUGAUCAGCCACACUGGGACUGAGACACGGCCCAGACUCCUACGGGAGGCAGCAGUGGGAAUAUUGCGCAAUGGGGGAAACCCUGACGCAGCCACGCCGCGUGGGUGAUGAAGGCCUCGGUGUAAGCCUGUUCGGGAGGGACGAAGUUACAUGACGGUACC
Molecule: ribosomal RNA, 409 nt
Filed under: uncultured bacterium
Lineage: Bacteria
Description: bacterial SSU rRNA
Rfam family: Bacterial small subunit ribosomal RNA
Source: RNAcentral